CAGCAGUGAGGAAGGUGGGUAUGUUAAUAGCAUACUCAUUUGACGUUUAGCUGCAGAAGAAGCACCGGCUAACUCCGUGCCAGCAGCCGCGGUAAUACGGAGGGUGCGAGCGUUAAUCGGAAUUACUGGGCGUAAAGCGCAUGCAGGUGGUUUGUUAAGUCAGAUGUGAAAGCCCCGGGGCUCAACCUCGGAAUUGCAUUUGAAACUGGCAAACUAGAGUACUGGUAGAGGGGGUAGAAUUUCAGGUGUAGCGGUGAAAUGCGUAGAGAUCUGAAGGAAUACCCGGUGGCGAAGGCGGCCCCCCUGGACAGAUACUGACACUCAGAUGCGAAAGCGUGGGGAGCAAACAGGAUUAGAUACCCCUGGUAG
Molecule: ribosomal RNA, 369 nt
Filed under: uncultured bacterium
Lineage: Bacteria
Description: bacterial SSU rRNA
Rfam family: Bacterial small subunit ribosomal RNA
Source: RNAcentral